Molecule: RNA transcript, 1082 nt
Organism: Mus pahari (shrew mouse)
Lineage: Eukaryota; Metazoa; Chordata; Mammalia; Rodentia; Muridae
Gene name: heat shock cognate 71 kDa protein pseudogene
Exons: 2
Source: RefSeq, a predicted model, not a curated record
AUGGAGAAGGCCCUUCGAGAUGCCAAACUGGACAAGUCACAGAUCCAUGAUAUUGUCUUGGUGGGUGGUUCUACCAGAAUCCCCAAGAUUCAGAAACUUCUGCAAGACUUUUUCAAUGGAAAAGAACUGAAUAAGAGCAUUAACCCCAAUGAAGCUGUUGCCUAUGGUGCAGCGUCCAGGCAGCCAUUCUCUCUGGAGACAAUUCUGAGAAUGUUCAGGAUUUGCUGCUCUUGGAUGUCACUCCUCUUUCCCUUGGUAUUGAAACUGCUGGUGGAGUCAUGACNGUCCUCAUCAAGCGCAAUACCACCAUCCCCACCAAGCAGACACAGACNUUCACCACCUACUCUGAUAACCAGCCAGGUGUACUCAUUCAGGUGUAUGAAGGUGAAAGGGCCAUGACCAAGGACAACAACCUGCUUGGAAAGUUUGAGCUCACAGGCAUACCUCCAGCACCCCGUGGGGUUCCUCAGAUUGAGGUUACUUUUGACAUNGAUGCCAAUGGCAUCCUCAAUGUUUCUGCUGUAGAUAAGAGCACAGGAAAGGAGAACAAGAUCACCAUCACCAAUGACAAGGGCUGCUUGAGUAAGGAAGAUAUUGAGCGCAUGGUCCAGGAAGCUGAGAAGUACAAGGCUGAGAAUGAGAAGCAGAGAGAUAAGGUUUCCUCCAAGAAUUCCCUGGAGUCCUAUGCNUUCAACAUGAAAGCAACUGUGGAAGAUGAGAAACUUCAAGGCAAGAUCAACGAUGAGGACAAACAGAAGAUUCUUGACAAGUGCAAUGAGAUCAUCAGCUGGCUGGAUAAGAACCAGACUGCAGAGAAGGAAGAAUUUGAGCAUCAGCAGAAAGAACUGGAGAAAGUCUGCAACCCUAUCAUUACCAAGCUAUACCAGAGUGCUGGUGGCAUGCCUGGGGGAAUGCCUGGUGGCUUCCCUGGUGGAGGAGCUCCCCCAUCUGGUGGUGCUUCUUCAGGCCCCACCAUUGAAGAGGUGGAUUAAGUUAGUCCAAGAAGAGGGUGGAGCAUUGCUCCACAGGGACCCAAAACAAGUAACAUGGAAUAAUAAAAUUAUUUAAAUUGGCACUGUAAA